CUGCAUGGCUCGAUCUCCAUCGCAUCAUCUGCACUGUACCUGAAGAGGGAGGCCGCCCCUGGCCGGAAACUGGCCGGUGCAGGGAACCCAGCCCCGCCUAUUUAUACGCACGAACAGUAGUCAGUCACACGGAGCAGCAGCGGCAGCAGCUAGCAAUCUAAGCUAAGCUAAGCAAAGCCAAGCCAAGCAGGGACCAUGUCGGGAUCCGGCGCCGGGGUGUGGGUGUUCCGGAACGGGGUGAUGCAGCUGGAGCAGCCGGCGGCGGCGAGCCGGAAGGCGCUGGUGUACGUGCCGACGAACGAGGUGGUGCGGUCAGUGGAGGCGCUGGAGCGGCGGCUGGGGACGCUGGGCUGGGAGCGCUACUACGAGAACCGAAGCAUCGUGCAGCUCCACAAGCGCGACGGCGGCGCAGACCUCAUCACCAUCCCGCGCGACUUCGCCAGCCUCCGAUCCACCCACAUGUACGACGUCGUCGUCAAGAACCGCGACCACUUCAAGGUCGUCGACGCCUAGGGAACUGUCAUUCAUGCGUGUGCAGGUGCAGAUGCCGGCCGGGACAUACAUACAUACAUACAUACAUACAUGUAUAUUGUAUAGAAAAGAUGUGUGUGUGUGUGUGUAUGCAAGGAGUGUGAGAGCUACAUAUUGUACUGAACUGCUGAUGCUUGAUGUUUUUACUAGCUAUUGCCCUAGGGUUUGUUUAAACUUGGGUGUGAGAUUAACGAAGUGUCCUCUAAAGAUUGUAUGAUGCAUGCUA
RNA transcript from Panicum hallii, 757 nucleotides. It is a transcript of the gene named flowering-promoting factor 1-like protein 5, with no coding region annotated. The record is from RefSeq and is a predicted model, not a curated record. NCBI's taxonomy places the organism in Eukaryota, Viridiplantae, Streptophyta, Magnoliopsida, Poales, Poaceae. The transcript is spliced from 2 exons.